This 253-nucleotide ribosomal RNA is filed under the name uncultured bacterium. RNAcentral describes it as "partial 16S ribosomal RNA". It matches the Rfam family "Bacterial small subunit ribosomal RNA", at positions 524 to 776 of the family's 1533-position model. The record is from RNAcentral.
GACAGAGGUGCCAAGCGUUAGGCGGAAUCACUGGGCUUAAAGCGUGUGUAGGCGGGUGCCUAAGGAACUUGUGAAAUCCCACGGCUCAACCGUGGAACUGCUGGGUAUACUGGGUGCCUUGGGUCAUCUAGGGGCUGCCGGAACAAAUGGUGGAGCGGUGAAAUGCGUAGAUAUCAUUUGGAACGCCAACGGCGAAAGCAGGCAGCUGGGGAUGCACCGACGCUGAGACACGAAAGCCAGGGGAGCGAACGGG